Molecule: RNA transcript, 836 nt
Organism: Peromyscus leucopus (white-footed mouse)
Lineage: Eukaryota; Metazoa; Chordata; Mammalia; Rodentia; Cricetidae
Gene name: acidic proline-rich protein PRP33-like
Exons: 5
Source: RefSeq, a predicted model, not a curated record
CUUCCAGUUUGAGGAAACAGGACCAGCUGAGGAACUGGUGAGGAGUGUGGCCUCAUGUGAUUUCCACCAACUAUGUGGGCAUUCCAAGUGGUGUUGUCAUUGUGCUGGUUGUCCUUAGAUAGGAUAUGUUGACAAUCUCCACCCUGCUGGGCUAAAGUCCCAAAGAGAAAUAAUGGAACUAGGUCUUCCAGCUGUGGAUCAAAGAUUUCAUUGUUAUGCUCCUUUUUAUAAAUGGAAUGGCCUUCAAUGUCACAACACUUGAGAACAACUCCAGAGCCUCCUCCAAGAUGCUGGCAGUUCUGUUCACAGCGGCCUUGCUGGUCCUGAGCUCAGCUCAGAGCCCCAAUGAAGAUACUGAAAGCCAGAGCCCAGUCUUAGUGGACUCUGCUGCUCCUGAGUCUGAAAAUGAUCCACAGAGUGACUCCCCACCAGGAGAGGAACAAGUGUCCUCUGAUGAUGCUGUUGAGAAUGAAGUAAAUAAUCCACAGCAGGAACAAUCUGCAGAAGGGCCUCAGGAUCAAUCUUCUACUCUUCCUGAAGACUCAAAAAGACCAGUCCAACCAGAAGGCCAGCAGCAUGACCUUCCUCCUCCUGAGUUUCAACAUAGACCUCCUCCUCGUGGUCGUUUUUCAGGCAACAAAAAGAAUCCUCCCCAUAAUGUCCGUGGAGAACAAAGACCACCUUUAGGUAGAGGACAGAAUGUGAAAAAUCUACCUCAUCGUUGGUCCAGACUGUUAGCUUAGGGAGUGCCUGAGAAGAAUAUGUACUUCAGAAAAAUAGGCCAAGAAGUCAUUGUUGACUGACUACCUGACCCCAAUAAAAUUUUCAGCAUUCGA